GGCGCUGUAGCGCAGCGGGUUAAUGCUCUGGCCUGAAGCGCCAGCAUCCCAUACGGGCGUCGGUUCUAGUCCCACCUGCUCCU
Molecule: transfer RNA, 83 nt
Filed under: Oryctolagus cuniculus (rabbit)
Lineage: Eukaryota; Metazoa; Chordata; Mammalia; Lagomorpha; Leporidae
Rfam family: tRNA
About the family: Transfer RNA (tRNA) molecules are approximately 80 nucleotides in length.
Source: Rfam by way of RNAcentral